UCAGAGUCUUCCAAGAGGAAAGAAGGAUGUUUAGGAGGAAGAUGUGGUGGAAGAAGGAGAAGACGAGACACUCUCUUCUCACUUUUCUCUCUUCUUGAAAUCCUAGAUCAAAACCUUAGGAAACCCACGCCAGGAGAUCUCAUGCCCUCCCUCUUUUUCUUUGUUUUUCACAGUGAAAACCUUUUUCUCGAUCACUCACACAUGCCC
RNAcentral lists this long non-coding RNA (207 nucleotides) under Elaeis guineensis (African oil palm). Its description in RNAcentral is "long non-coding RNA (EGUI_LNC002607)". Lineage: Eukaryota; Viridiplantae; Streptophyta; Magnoliopsida; Arecales; Arecaceae. The record is from RNAcentral.